This is a non-coding RNA of Balearica regulorum gibbericeps (East African grey crowned-crane), 902 nucleotides long. Lineage: Eukaryota; Metazoa; Chordata; Aves; Gruiformes; Gruidae. The record is from RefSeq and is a predicted model, not a curated record.
CUCGAAGGUUGCCAUUGUGGCUCAAGACUUAGCAGCAUUUCAUAGUGCCUCAUCAGAAAUGGGACACCAGCAACAUGGGCACCACUUAGUGACUACAGAAAGUAGACCUGUUACAUUGUUGGCUACAUCCAAUGGAACACAAAUUGCAGUACAGCUGGGAGAACAACAGUCUCUGGAAGAAGCCAUUAGAAUAGCCUCCAGAAUACAACAGGGUGAAACACCAGGGAUUGAUGAUUAACUUCUAAAACUGCUACCAGAACAAUAGAGUGAAAGGUAUUUUAUUUUCAAUCAACAAAGGUCCAUGCCAGCAGCAACCCAUAAAAACUUUGAAGUUCCCCGCUCAUUGAUACUGUGUACACAUUUUAUGCAAGAGCGAAGAACAUUUUGUAAGUUUUGUGUACAUAACCCUUGGAAUGGACUGACAUCAUCUACUUUCAACCGUUGUAUAUUCAGGAAUAUGGAAUUAGGAUUAUAUAGUAAAUUUCCUUGUUAUCCUUUCACCAGACUUCAGACUGGUCUACAAGCAAGUGAAAAAAUUAAAUAGAAGUAUUGGAAUUAAUUUUUAAUGUCAUGUACAAAUAAUGAAGGCAUUACUGAAGAUUUCAAAUGUUUAAAAUACUAUUAAAAAUAAUCAUUUCAGGAACCCUUACAAAUAAUAAAGACAACAAAGCCUUUUAAAUUGCAUUCCGUAAAUGGAAAAGUCUUGGAUUUUGAGCCUACUGUAAAUCUUCAUAUUUUGAUUUGUUUCAUACAGAUUUGAAUACUCUUUAGAUUAUCCACCCCAUCUCAUUCAUUGUAAAUACAGACUGUUAAUGCUGGAAGUGCUAAUUAUAUUAUCUUUAAAUUGGAUUAUGUACAAAGGAGAAACUUUGGUUGUUCAAUAUUAAAGGAAGUAAAUCUAA